AACUCUGUAGCUAGAGCAGCAGGUGCUGUAGCGAAACUCAUUGCAAAAGAGGGUAAAUCGGCCACUUUAAGAUUACCAUCUGGGGAGGUCCGUUUAGUAUCCCAAAACUGCUUAGCAACAGUCGGACAAGUGGGUAAUGUUGGGGUGAACCAAAAAAGUUUGGGUAGAGCCAGAUCUAAGUGUUGGCUAGGUAAACGCCCCGUAGUAAGAGGGGUAGUUAGCUUCCAUUGA
Molecule: ribosomal RNA, 231 nt
Filed under: Triticum aestivum (bread wheat)
Lineage: Eukaryota; Viridiplantae; Streptophyta; Magnoliopsida; Poales; Poaceae
Description: partial small subunit ribosomal RNA
Source: RNAcentral